Long non-coding RNA from Orcinus orca (killer whale), 3394 nucleotides. RefSeq lists it as uncharacterized. Lineage: Eukaryota; Metazoa; Chordata; Mammalia; Artiodactyla; Delphinidae. The transcript is spliced from 4 exons. The record is from RefSeq and is a predicted model, not a curated record.
AGGCGGAUUCUUAACCACUGCGCCACCAGGGAAGCCCCGGGAGCAUCUCUUAAGGAGGUGGACAAGUCUUUGUAAACUGCCUUCAGUGGGUGCAGAUGAACAGGGCCCAGAUGCAAGAUGUUGACUGACGGGUAGCAGGAUACAGGGAAAGAAGUGGAAGAAGGUAAAAAGGAAACAGGAAGCAGUGAUAAUGUGUGGUCUGAGGUAAUGGGCUGUUUAUACUCAGAGCCUUCCAAAGGCUGAGAAGACACUGAUGUUAACAGUUGUUGAUGAGUGACUGGGAAAGGCUGAACAUUUUGAUUUAAACUCUGUUAUGAGGGACCUAUGACCCUGUACGUCAGAGUUUUUCAUGUGAGCUGGAAGCACCCAGAGCAGGACUGAGAUCACACUCUGUGCAAGCCCAGCACCUGGCUGAAAACAUUGUCCGGUGGUGAUGUAAGGGAGGUGCUGCAGAAAAUGAGUUGGAAGCUUUAAGGAGACACAUCUGUACCUGUUGCAGGAAUGAAGAUUCUAGCCCCAGAGGCCUUAAAGCCAGCAAGCGAGGUCUGGAGGGAGGACUCCAUUUGAAUCUGGAAGGGUGACACAGUAAUCCCUUCACCUCCCUAACUGGGGACAUUAAAGUAGACCUUCCCUUUCAGUCUUCUCUUUGUUUAUCAGGAAUAAAGUGUGGGGAGAUCAGGAUAGGCUCCACAUGUGUCCAGAGGGCUCUUAGCCAUCCUCAGAGCUCCGCUGAGUGUGCCUUAAAUUAAAGAGAGUACGGGACGUGAACUCAUAGGGGUGAGGUCAUCCAGGGCCUCUUGGAUAAACCCCUGAGUUGUCACCAGAAGGCUGUGACUCAGCUCUGAGAUCUGCUGAAUCAGAGACGAUUGUCUCCUUGCAGGCACCUGUAGCAAUUGCAGCAAGAAACAGGAAGGGACUGAAUUCUAUUUCUGUUGAUCCCAUCCUUCAUGUCCCACCACCCCAUCCGCUAGCCCACAAUUCACUUUCUCUUUCCCCUUCGAGUUACCUCCCAAAUCGUUCUUCCUCCACCUUGUAUUCUCUCUCCCUAGAGAUGCCUACUUGCUUAACUCUGUUUUGGAGUUCUGUGUAUGCUUCAUCCUCCGAUUAGAUCUUAUGCUGAUCUAGAGGAGUGUCCAAGAAUGUCUAUGCUUAGUGUGUACCUCAGUGUGUGUGUGAAUAUGUGUAUUUGUGUGAUUUAGAUAAGUAGGUAACCGGGACUUAAACCAAAAUCAUGACACUAAACAUAAACAUGCUGCUUUGCUAAACUAAGGCAAACCUGAAAGUUAAACUUUCCUUGAGCCAAAAUGUUUAGAAAAAAAUGGCUUGGUUCAACUUAAGACAAGGCAAUAGAAUUUUUCAAAAAUCACUUAAUCUUUUAAGAAGAUAAUAUAUUUAUAAGAUUCAAAAUUAAAUAAAUACAUACCCAUAAAUAUGUAUUUUCUAUCCCUGUCUUCCAUGUGUCCAAUUCCUCUUCACCUUCCCAAACUGGUAACCAUGUUAACAUUUCCUGUGGAUUCCUCCAGAGAUUUUAAGUACUAUACAAGUAAAUACAAAUUUACAAUGCAAUCUCUUCCUUUCUAUACAAAUGAGAGCAUGCUAUGCAUUUUACACUGCAUCUUACUUUUUUUUUCCCACUUUAUAAUCCAUCUUGGAAAUCUUUUAAAUCACAAGAAAGGCCCUCGUUCUCUUUUUACAACUACAGAGUAUUCUAUUGAAUGGAUGUAUUAUCAUAAUGGGCUUAACCAACCUCUUACUGGUAGACAUUUAUUUUUAUUUAUUUAUUUACUUAUUUUAGUUCAUAGAUUUUCUUUCUUUUUUUUAAAUUUUUUGGCUGCGUUGGGUCUUCGUUGCUGCGUGCGGGCUUUCUCUACUUGCAGUGAGCGGGGGCUUCUCUUCGUUGUGGUGCGCGGGCUUCUCACCGCAGUGGUUUCUCUUGUAGAGCACGGGCUCUAGGCAUGCGGGCUUCAGUAGUUGUGGCUCGCGGGCUCUAGAGCACAGGCUCAGUAGUUGUGGUGCACGAGCUUAGUUGAUCCACAGCAUGUGGGAUCUUCCCGGGCCAACAAUGUCCCGGCUCGAACCCGGGUCCCCUGUAUUGGCAGGCAGAUUCCCAACCACUGUGCCACCAGGGAAGUCCUGGUAGACAUUUAACUUGUUGCCAAUUUCUUGCAGUAGCAAACAGUAUUCCAAUGAAUUACGAAUUUUUUUUUUACUUUUUUUAAAAAAAUAUAUUUUAUUUUAUUUAUUUGGUUGUGCCCUGUCAGUUGUGGCAGACGGGCUCCUUAGUUGUGGCAUGCAUGUGGGAUCUAGCUCCCUGACCAGGGAUUGAACCCAGGUCCCCUGCAUUGAGAGCAUGGAGUCUUAACCACUGCGCCACCAGGGAAGUCCCUUUUUUUUUACAUUUUAAAGCACUAUUCAUUUUAUACUUCAAGGUACCAUGUCGCUUGUUUAUUUAUUUAUUUAUUUUUGGAGUAAACUUGCUUUACGAUGUUGUGUUAGUUUCUGCUGUACAAUGAAGUGAAUCAGCUAUGUGUAUACCUAUAUCCCCUCCCUCUCGGACCUCCCUCCCACCAAUUCUGAUGGUUAUUACUAAAUUGCCCACCUGCAGGUGGCACAGACUGACACUUGCAACAGCAGUGUAGGAGAAUGUCCAUUUCCCCCUCCCCUGCCAACACCGUACAUUAAUACAUCAUAAUUUUAAUACCUAGGGUGGUUUUUUCCUAGCAACAAAGCUUGGUGUUUUCACUGUUUGUUUCAUGUUGGCUUGUGGGAAGGGAUAGGGUGGCCUGGCUCUGGGCUUGACCAGUGGGGGAGGGGAGGAUAGCUGGCACUGUCCCCAGGGAGAGAGCCAGGAGCCUUGGCUGGAGACAAAGGCACCUCAAGAAUCUCACCUGGUUCUUUGCUUUCUCCCUGGCAAGCCUUGCCAGGGAGACUUUUUUUCUUACUAAUUUAAUAGUGAAAAUGGUAUUUCAUUGUACUUUGAAUUUAUGUUGCUCUUAAUAUAAGAGAGGUUGCUAUUCAUGUAUUUAAAAGUUGCUUGUAUCUCCUUUAUCUGUGAACUGUUUCUUAACAUUUUUGCCCAGUUUUUUUUCUGGGUAAUUGGGUUUUUUCUUAUUGACCUAUAGGAGCUCUUAAAAUAUUAAAGACAUUAAACUUUGUCUGUGAAAUGAAUUAUAAACAACUUGUUCCCAGUUUGCCAUUUGCCUUUUUACUUUGCUCAUUGCCAAGCAACGAUUUUUAUUUUUAUGGAAUUUAAGUGUUAAAUCUUUUACUUUAUGCCAUCUAGAUUUUAUAUCACAGUUAGAAGGUCUUUUCUACUCUGAAUUUAUAUAGGAGCUUUCUUUAUAGGUUUUAUUUUUUACCUUUCUUAUUUAAUUCAUUUGGAAUGGAUCCUAGU